This 700-nucleotide ribosomal RNA is filed under the name uncultured bacterium. Its description in RNAcentral is "bacterial SSU rRNA". It matches the Rfam family "Bacterial small subunit ribosomal RNA", at positions 51 to 746 of the family's 1533-position model. The record is from RNAcentral.
ACACAUGCAAGUCGAACGGCAGCGGGGGCUUCGGCCUGCCGGCGAGUGGCGAACGGGUGAGUAAUGCAUCGGAACGUGCCCAUGUCGUGGGGGAUAACGUAUCGAAAGGUACGCUAAUACCGCAUACGUCCUGAGGGAGAAAGCGGGGGACCGUAAGGCCUCGCGCGAUUGGAGCGGCCGAUGUCGGAUUAGCUAGUUGGUGAGGUAAAGGCUCACCAAGGCGACGAUCCGUAGCGGGUCUGAGAGGAUGAUCCGCCACACUGGGACUGAGACACGGCCCAGACUCCUACGGGAGGCAGCAGUGGGGAAUUUUGGACAAUGGGCGCAAGCCUGAUCCAGCCAUGCCGCGUGAGUGAAGAAGGCCUUCGGGUUGUAAAGCUCUUUCGGCCGGGAAGAAAUCGUGUUCUCUAACAUAGGACAUGGAUGACGGUACCGGACCAAGAAGCACCGGCUAACUACGUGCCAGCAGCCGCGGUAAUACGUAGGGUGCAAGCGUUAAUCGGAAUUACUGGGCGUAAAGCGUGCGCAGGCGGUUCGGAAAGAAAGAUGUGAAAUCCCAGGGCUCAACCUUGGAACUGCAUUUUUAACUCCCGAACUAGAGUGUGUCAGAGGGGGGUGGAAUUCCACGUGUAGCAGUGAAAUGCGUAGAUAUGUGGAGGAACACCGAUGGCGAAGGCAGCCCCCUGGGAUAACACUACGC